AAUAUGGCUCUUUGAACAUUUUGGGUUGCCGAACCCUGUCCUUGAAGAUCUUUAAUGACGCUUGCCAGGAAAAGAACAUGGACACACCAGACUGACCUGCAAGUACACCUGGUCACUCUCCACCUGCUCAGGACUGUAGUGAUAGUGAAGCGCUGCCUCGUACACCUCAUUCUCAC
Molecule: long non-coding RNA, 176 nt
Organism: Syngnathus acus (greater pipefish)
Lineage: Eukaryota; Metazoa; Chordata; Actinopteri; Syngnathiformes; Syngnathidae
Exons: 2
Source: RefSeq, a predicted model, not a curated record